AUGGAGCUCAGAGAUGGGUUUGUUCGACCAGACGACAAGCUGCUAGUCUCAACCCUGUUGAACAGAAGUGUACGAUCUAUUGAAAGAAUCUGGGAAGACGCCAAAAAGCAAAUUGCCGAUGGCAAAGAAAUAGAUGGCUCAAGCAAGAAGCCAGGAAGAUCUGGCUGAAAGAGAAAGCAGCUGGAUCUAGCGAGGACCUCAACAAUCCCACUGAAUAAAAGAAGGACAAUUCGAUCUCUGGCAUGGUCUCUAGGUGUGGCCCGAUCGACCCUACAUAAGAGGUUCCAGUUGAAUGAGCUCAACCGCAUCACAAGCAUUGUGAAGCCUCAUCUUAAGCCAGAGAACAAGCUUGCGAGAUUGAAAUUUUGUAUGUCCAUGCUCGAUGACCAUUUGAUCUCAACUUCUCGGGCUAUGUUUAAGCCAAUGACCAAUAUGGUUCACAUCGAUGAAAAGUGGUUUGACAUGACGAGAGUGAAGAAUAGUUACUAUGUACUUCCAGGAGAACCUGAGCCCAAGUGCACCGUGUCAAACACUCACAUCAUUGGGAAGGUAAUGUUCCUAACAGCUGUGGCCAGGCCUCGAUAUAACAAUGAGGGGGAGCUAACAUGA
This 609-nucleotide ribosomal RNA is filed under the name Triticum aestivum (bread wheat). RNAcentral describes it as "partial small subunit ribosomal RNA". The record is from RNAcentral. Lineage: Eukaryota; Viridiplantae; Streptophyta; Magnoliopsida; Poales; Poaceae.